RNAcentral lists this ribosomal RNA (440 nucleotides) under uncultured bacterium. RNAcentral describes it as "bacterial SSU rRNA". It matches the Rfam family "Bacterial small subunit ribosomal RNA", at positions 338 to 795 of the family's 1533-position model. The record is from RNAcentral.
CCUACGGGGGGCUGCAGUGGGGGAUAUUGCACAAUGGAGGAAACUCUGAUGCAGCAACGCCGCGUGAGGGAAGAAGGUCUUCGGAUUGUAAACCUCUGUCCUCAGGGACGAUAAUGACGGUACCUGAGGAGGAAGCUCCGGCUAACUACAUGCCAGCAGCGGCGGUAAUACGUAGGGAGCAAGCGGUGUCCGGAUUUACUGGGUGUAAAGGGUGCGUAUGCGGCCCUGCAAGUCAGGUGUGAAAACUAUGGGCUGAACUCAUAGAUUGCAAUUGAAACUGUGGGGCUUGAGUGAAUUAUAGGCAAGCGGAAUGCCCGGUGUAGCGGUGUAAUGCGUAGAGAACGGGAAGAACACCAGUGGCGAAGGCGGCUUGCUGGGCUUUAACUGACGCUGAGGCACGAAAGCGUGGGUAGCAAACAGGAUUAGAUACCCUAGUAGUC